RNAcentral lists this ribosomal RNA (889 nucleotides) under Chloroflexi bacterium enrichment culture clone B312106. RNAcentral describes it as "bacterial SSU rRNA". It matches the Rfam family "Bacterial small subunit ribosomal RNA", at positions 8 to 916 of the family's 1533-position model. Lineage: Bacteria; Bacillati; Chloroflexota. The record is from RNAcentral.
AGAGUUUGAUCAUGGCUCAGGAUGAACGUUGGCGGUGUGCCUAAUACAUGCAAGUCGAACGGAGUUAAUAGCAAUAUUGACUUAGUGGCGAACGGGUGAGUAACGCGUUGGUGAUCUGCCUCGAAGUGUGGAAUAACGUUCCGAAAGGAACGCUAAUACCGCAUGUGCUCUCGAUUUUUAGAAAGUUGAGAGUAAAGGAUUUAUUCGCUUCGAGAGGAGCCUGCGUCCAAUCAGCUGGUUGGUAGGGUAACGGCCUACCAAGGCUAUGACGGGUAGGGGACCUGAGAGGGUGGCCCCCCACAAUGGAACUGAAACACGGUCCAUACACCUACGGGUGGCAGCAGUAGGGAAUAUUAGAAAUGGACGAAAGUCUGAUCUAGCAACACCGCGUGUGCGAAGAAGGCCUUCGGGUCGUAAAGCACUUUUUGGAAGGAAUAGGAAGGAAUGUACUUCCAGAAUAAGUCUCGGCUAACUACGUGCCAGCAGCCGCGGUAACACGUAGGAGGCGAACGUUAUCCGGAUUUACUGGGCGUAAAGCGCGUGUAGGUGGUACUGUAAGUAGGGCGUGAAAGCUCCCGGCUCAACUGGGAGAGGCCGUUCUAAACUACAGAACUAGAGGAUGGUAGAGGGAGGUGGAAUUCCAGGUGUAGCGGUGGAAUGCGCAGAUAUCUGGAGGAACACCGGUGGCGAAGGCGGCCUCCUGGACCAUUCCUGACACUCAGACGCGAAAGCUAGGGUAGCAAACGGGAUUAGAGACCCCGGUAGUCCUAGCCCUAAACGAUGUAGACUAGGCGUCGGAAGUUUGAUCACUUUCGGUGUCCAAGCUAACGCGAUAAGUCUACCGCCUGGGGACUACGGCCGCAAGGUUAAAACUCAAAUGAAUUGACGG